Molecule: long non-coding RNA, 1099 nt
Filed under: Cairina moschata (Muscovy duck)
Lineage: Eukaryota; Metazoa; Chordata; Aves; Anseriformes; Anatidae
Description: domestica (muscovy Duck (domestic type)) lncRNA (ENSCMMG00000014413.1)
Source: RNAcentral
CAAAGGGCAUGUGAAAAAUUAUUUAUGCUUUUCUAAGCACAUAUGACUCGAAAUACACAACGAAUAAAAAUGGGAGGAAGAAAUUAACUCUCUGUCCCAAAUUUUUUAGCCCAACCAAGAUGAUUGGUUUUAGAAAUCGAUGUAAAAACCAUGCUUUGGAAAGAAGUCACCUCUCCACAUCAGUGAUAUUUUUGGAAAGAACCCAGAGAUUAACAUUUAUCAUGCUGAGAUUCGGGCAGCACAUCAUCAAGCCCUCCGUGGUCUUCCUGAAGACUGAGCUCUCCUUUGCUCUUGUGAACCGCAAGCCGGUGGUCCCAGGCCGUAUCCUUUUGAGCAGUGCCUUGGCCAUGGGUGCCUGUGUUCUGUGGAGACGCUGAGGAAGGUUGGCAUGCUCUGAAGGCCAGGUAGGAUGUUGCGCGGAUUUAUUCUGAAACCAGGCAGUGGAACGUAAUACGCUUGAUUGGUGUUGCAGAACUGCCGAAAAGGGUUGCUUAGCAACUGUGACCUUACAGGUGAAUUUCUAUUGACCUUUUCACCACAGAAAAUGUAUAAACAACAGGUGCUACUAAAAGCAUUUUAAAGUGUAUCUGAGAGGAUACUGUGUAAAUUUCAUAUUAUGCUAAAUAACACAUCCUGCUUCCCUUUUAAUAACGUCACUUAUUUUUAGAUGUGGUAACUUCUUUAUGGAGGAUUUUCAACUUCUUGUAGCUAAAUGUACACAAUUUGUCAAAUGGCAGCAGAAUUCUCUAUGAAGACUAUUAUUUUUUGGGGGGAACAGAUUGCUUUGAUUAAUUUAGGUAGGAAUGGAUUAAAUAAACCAUCUGUAUAGCAAACACUUUCUGAGGAAAAAUGAAUCCCCAUGUUGUAAGCAAAACUUAGUUUUUAGAAAUUUUAAGGAAACUUGAUUGUGCAAGAUGCUAAAUGCAUCUAUUUAGUUUAUUUUAUAAUGUUGUGUAUUAUUUCAUAGUUAGAACUCUGGCGCUAUGUAACUUGUACUGAUUUCAGUGGCUGGAGGUUGAACUUUUCAGAAAUAUUCAAGACUGAUCAUUUUCACAGAGGUUUAUGGUAAAAAUUUUAGUAGGCACUGUUAAGAAAUGGC